CACAGGCCACUCACCAUGGACUUAGGGCUCAUAAUGGUUUUCUCUGUCCUGAUUUUAAAAGGUGUUCAGUGUGAUGUGCAGUUGCUGGAGUCUGGGGGAGGCUUAGUGCAGCCUGGAAAGUCCCUGAAACUCUCCUGUGCAGCCUAUGGAUUCUCCUUCAGUAGUUAUGACAUGAGCUGGGACCGCCAGGCUCCCGGGAAGGGGCUGGAGUGGGUAGCAUCCAUUAGCAGUAGUGGUGGUAGUGGUGGUACCACCAGGUAUACUGACGCUGUGAACGGCCGGUUCACAAUCUCCAGAGACAAUGCCAAGAACACUCUGUACCUGGAAAUGAGCAGUCUGAGGUCAGAGGACACAGCCAUGUAUUACUGUACAACAGACACAGUGAGUGAAUGCUACUGUGAGCUCAGACAAAAACACUGCUGUGGGGAACAGGACCAGCAGGGGGCACUGAGAUCCCUUAGAAAUCAGAGUCAGAGAGCCUGCUUAGAGAAAAAUGGAAGACUGGAUUUCUCUGUUUCUGCACUGCCUCUCCGUAUUGUAGGGAUUUUCUCCACAGGAAUAGAGUGUAGUAAUUCUUGA
Molecule: non-coding RNA, 579 nt
Organism: Microtus oregoni (creeping vole)
Lineage: Eukaryota; Metazoa; Chordata; Mammalia; Rodentia; Cricetidae
Source: the annotation of a RefSeq genome assembly